This 234-nucleotide ribosomal RNA is filed under the name uncultured bacterium. Its description in RNAcentral is "partial 16S ribosomal RNA". It matches the Rfam family "Bacterial small subunit ribosomal RNA", at positions 29 to 286 of the family's 1533-position model. The record is from RNAcentral.
AGCGAACGCUGGCGGCAGGCUUAACACAUGCAAGUCGAGCGCCUGUAGCAAUACAGGAGCGGCAGACGGGAGAGUAACACGUGGGAACGUACCUUUUGGUUCGGAACAACUGAGGGAAACGUUACNGCCAAUACCGGAUAAGCCCUUACGGGGAAAGAUUUAUCGCCAAGAGAUCGGCCCGCGUCUGAUUAGCUAGUUGGUGAGGUAACGGCUCACCAAGGCGACGAUCAGUAG